This 73-nucleotide transfer RNA is filed under the name Paramuricea clavata. It matches the Rfam family "tRNA". Rfam says of the family: Transfer RNA (tRNA) molecules are approximately 80 nucleotides in length. Their secondary structure includes four short double-helical elements and three loops (D, anti-codon, and T loops). The record is from Rfam by way of RNAcentral. Lineage: Eukaryota; Metazoa; Cnidaria; Anthozoa; Malacalcyonacea; Plexauridae.
GACCGCGUAGCUCAGUUGGCAGAGCGUUGGGCUAGUGUUCGAAAGGUCGUAGGUUCGAUUCCCACCGUGGCCA